Non-coding RNA from Oryza barthii, 168 nucleotides. NCBI's taxonomy places the organism in Eukaryota, Viridiplantae, Streptophyta, Magnoliopsida, Poales, Poaceae. The record is from Rfam.
CGCCAGCUUACUACGUCUUCAAUGCAACUACACGGGCAAUCACACGGUGCGGUGAACUGAUGACAGGGAAGCCGGCGACCGAAGCCCCGGUGAACGGCGGCCGUAACUAUAACGGUCCUAAGGUAGCGAAAUUCCUUGUCGAGUAAGUUCCGACCUGCACGAAAGGCG